Molecule: long non-coding RNA, 270 nt
Filed under: Homo sapiens (human)
Lineage: Eukaryota; Metazoa; Chordata; Mammalia; Primates; Hominidae
Description: non-protein coding lnc-EIF2AK3-4:61
Source: RNAcentral
GAAAUUGUGUUGACGCAGUCUCCAGGCACCCUGUCUUUGUCUCCAGGGGAAAGAGCCACCCUCUCCUGCAGGGCCAGUCAGAGUGUUAGCAGCAGCUACUUAGCCUGGUACCAGCAGAAACCUGGCCAGGCUCCCAGGCUCCUCAUCUAUGGUGCAUCCAGCAGGGCCACUGGCAUCCCAGACAGGUUCAGUGGCAGUGGGUCUGGGACAGACUUCACUCUCACCAUCAGCAGACUGGAGCCUGAAGAUUUUGCAGUGUAUUACUGUCAG